GACAGAGGGUGCGAGCGUUGUUCGGAAUUACUGGGCGUAAAGCGCGUGUAGGCUGUUCGGAAAGUCGGGUGUGAAAGCCCUGGGCUCAACCUAGGAAGUGCACUCGAAACUCCCGAACUGGAGUCCCGGAGAGGAAGGUGGAAUUCUCGGUGUAGAGGUGAAAUUCGUAGAUAUCGAGAGGAACAUCGGUGGCGAAGGCGGCCUUCUGGACGGUGACUGACGCUGAGACGCGAAAGCGUGGGGAGCAAACAGG
Molecule: ribosomal RNA, 253 nt
Filed under: uncultured bacterium
Lineage: Bacteria
Description: partial 16S ribosomal RNA
Rfam family: Bacterial small subunit ribosomal RNA
Source: RNAcentral